Schizosaccharomyces pombe (fission yeast) is the source of this 394-nucleotide non-coding RNA. Lineage: Eukaryota; Fungi; Ascomycota; Schizosaccharomycetes; Schizosaccharomycetales; Schizosaccharomycetaceae. The record is from the annotation of a GenBank genome assembly.
UACUUACGUUGGUAAAAGAGUAGGUAAGUUAAAGAAAAAACCCCCGGAGAUUCAUUGCGAAUUAUUUUGUAAACUAUUUAGUUCUAAUAAGGAAGAAGGACUAUAAACUGAUUAACGUAACUUCCAAUUGGGGACUAAAUCUUGGAGAAACCAACAAAGAAAAGAAGCAAAAAAAAUAUGUGAAAAACAGAUACUUGCCUUCCUAAAAGGAAAACAUUGAAAGAAACGAAAUAGGCUUUUUUCGUUUUAAUGGAAAGAAGUAAAUUUUUUUAAGGACGGAACACUUUUUUCGUAGCUUUAUUGAGGAUGGUCCCAAAGGGAUGUGUGAUGGACACAACCAAAGCAGAAUUCUUCAAAUCCGAUUAACUUAAUUAUAAAUUUUUAGAUAACGUUA